RNAcentral lists this ribosomal RNA (602 nucleotides) under Parabathyscia wollastoni. RNAcentral describes it as "SSU rRNA". It matches the Rfam family "Eukaryotic small subunit ribosomal RNA", at positions 22 to 602 of the family's 1831-position model. Lineage: Eukaryota; Metazoa; Arthropoda; Insecta; Coleoptera; Leiodidae. The record is from RNAcentral.
AGUCAUAUGCUUGUCUCAAAGAUUAAGCCAUGCAUGUCUCAGUACAAGCCAAAUUAAGGUGAAACCGCGAAAGGCUCAUUAAAUCAGUUAUGGUUCCUUAGAUCGUACACACAUUUACUUGGAUAACUGUGGUAAUUCUAGAGCUAAUACAUGCUAACAGAACUCCGACCGGAGACGGAAGGAGUGCCUUUAUUAGAUCAAAACCAAUCGGUGGCGCGGCUUGCCGUGUCAUCGUACAACAUGGUGAAUCUGAAUAACGUUUGCUGAUCGCACGGUCUCGCACCGGCGACGCAUCUUUCAAAUGUCUGCCUUAUCAACUGUCGAUGGUAGGUUCUGCGCCUACCAUGGUUGUAACGGGUAACGGGGAAUCAGGGUUCGAUUCCGGAGAGGGAGCCUGAGAAACGGCUACCACAUCCAAGGAAGGCAGCAGGCGCGCAAAUUACCCACUCCCGGCACGGGGAGGUAGUGACGAAAAAUAACGAUACGGGACUCAUCCGAGGCCCCGUAAUCGGAAUGAGCACACUUUAAAUCCUUUCACGAGGAUCAAUCGGAGGGCAAGUCAGGUGCCAGCAGCCGCGGUAAUUCCUGCUCCGAUAGCGUAU